AUUCAUUCGAGUAAAAAGUUUGAUUAGUCACCUAACUUAGCACUAUGUCACAUUGUAGUCACUGAACUUUCUUUCGCGGUUGAACGGUCACUCAACUUCAAAACUCGCCACUCUAUCCAUCACCCAGCAUCCCCCCCAUUUGAAACUAUCUCACGUGGCUUGACGGCGGCCGACGUGGCAAUCGACGGCGUGAAAAUCGGACAUGGUGGAUGCGAUUUCAAUUUACAAACACGAUCCUUCACUUCCAAUAUGAAAUUCCGUCACUCCAUUACCCGUAAUUCAAGGUCUGAGCCCUAGAUUCAUUUCUUCUCUCCCAAUUCGAUUCGUCAGACUUGGGAACACCGGACUCAAAUGUUUCUCCGUCUUCGCAGCAACGACAGAAGGUAAAAUUUGAUGUGUUGGGAGAGAGCUGCACGCAUCGACUCUUAAAGAUGGACCAGCAGCCACUUCAUAUAAUAUUCCUACGGACGAAGCUAACUUCGAAGUGUUCGUGGAUAAGCUGCAAUACAUAGACGAUGCCAAAUAUUCAAGGUUGAGAUUGAAAAGGGCACGAAGAAGACGACUUGUUAACACUUUGACAACAACGUCCCUGCAGUCUUCAGGCAAUACCAAACGGGCAGAUUAAUAUUUGAAGGAUAGGGCAGCUUAUUUGGACUCAUAUUGUCUUGCCUUUUUGUCUAGCUAUGGAAUGGAAUUUAUAAAUUUUUGUGGAUAGUAACAUGCCAAGUAAAAAAAAAAACCUUGCAGUGUUGACGUUGCUUAUAAUUCCGGUAUUUAACAUAGACUAUGUUGUGAUAGCAAUGAUUCCAGUGUGUCAUCAGAUGAAUUAUAUAUUUUUGUUAAUGGUCGUGUUUCAGAAUAGAUGAAAUAGUGUUUUUUGCACCCCACCCACUCGGAUCGCAAAGAAGAUGAGCCAAGCCAAGCUGGCUAAGCAGAUAAAUGAGCAGCCAUAGGUGGUUCAAGAGUAUGAGAAUGGAAAGACUGUGUCAAACCAAGCUAUGCUGGUGAAAAUGGAGAGAGUCUUGGCUGUGAAGCUGAGAUGGAAAGUUGUACAUAAAUGAUGAUUAUAAUUGAAUAUUGAUAUAACUA
Molecule: long non-coding RNA, 1089 nt
Organism: Olea europaea var. sylvestris
Lineage: Eukaryota; Viridiplantae; Streptophyta; Magnoliopsida; Lamiales; Oleaceae
Exons: 2
Source: RefSeq, a predicted model, not a curated record